ACUUUUAAAGGAAACUAGAUAACCCAUAGC
Molecule: transfer RNA, 30 nt
Filed under: Rhineura floridana
Lineage: Eukaryota; Metazoa; Chordata; Lepidosauria; Squamata; Rhineuridae
Description: partial tRNA-Leu
Source: RNAcentral